AAAAAACCUGGUUGGCUUAUUUUUGUAAUUUUUCAGUUUUGUUUCUAAAUGAGGAGCUAGAGAAGAUCUCAAACUGCUGUUGGUGCUAUUGGUUGUCAUUUGUUCAGAAAUCAUACAUUGGUCUCCCAUCCAUGAGGCAAGCCAAGGCACUUGUAUGGCCGGGAAAACAGAGCCGGGACCACGAAACACACAUCUGCUGGACUUCCUGCCUUUGACCCUGCUCCAACAUUCAUGGCGUUGUCACACUUUAUUAACUUAUAAAAGCUAACUAACUACUAAGGAAAUUCAAUGCCACCCUAAGAAAAGCAAAUUGCCAGUUAUUUUGACAUCAGAAGUUGUUUGAAAGUUCUGUGAAAGGAAAGCCCAACUGUGAUCUUAGGGAAAUUAAUUUUAAGAAACAUAAUUUUCAAAGGUGAUAAUUAUUUUUCAAGAAUAUUGCUGACCAUUGACAUCUGAAAUAGGCUUUUGGGUUUUUUUUUUUCGUGUUUUGUCUUUCACAAAGAUUAUUUUGACAUUUUUGCUUCUGGGAAUUUCUUUCUUGGCAACACAUAUAAAAGUAUUAAACUGGAUGAAGUUGACAUUCUCAGCAUUUGAAGUUUGUCUUUGAUUCCUUCAAAAAAGAGAGCAAAUGACAUAAAAGGGAAGAGGAAGGCCAUUCAACAUCAUUAAAACUUCUUUGAAAGUUUAAUAGGCUUGUGCUAUGGAAAACUAAAAUGAAACAAAAGCAUUUUUCAAAAUGAUGGAAUUUGGGGAUCUCCACUCAACUUUCCCUAAUCUCUCCUUUGCAGAGAUGUAGGGGCUGAAGACAUGCAGGUUGCUCCCCCAGGACACGGGCUGGUUAGUAGCAAAGGGGGUUUUAGAGGCAGGCUCCACCAGGUCACCGCAUGUCUGGGCAAGUGACCUCACCCAAGGCCUCACUCUCCCUAGCCCUCUCCCCAGCCUUUACGCAGACUGCUUCUUAAUCCUAAAUCAGCCACAGAAAACAAAGGAGCACCACCAACAGCCUUUUUUUUCUUUCUCUUUUUUUUUUUUUUCGAGAUGGAGGCUCACUCUGUCACCCAGGCUGGAGUGCAGUGGUGAGAUCUUCACUCACUGCAACCUCCACCCCCCAGGUUCAAGUGAUUCUCCUGCCUCAGCCUCCCCAGUAGCUGGGAAAAGCCACCACACCAGGCUAAUUUUUGUAUUUUUAGUAGAGACAGGAUUUCACCAUGUUGACCAGGCUGGUCUCAAACUCUGACUUCAUGUGAUGUGCUGGCCUUAGCCUCCCAAAGUGUUGGGAUUACAGGCAUGAGCCACCGUGCCCGGCCCACCAACAGCCUUCUUUUUUUUUUUUAGACAGGGUCUCACUCUGCUGCCCAGGCUGGAAUGCAGUGGAGCAGUCCUGGCUCACUGCAACCUCUGCCUCCCGGGUUCAAGCGAUUCUCCUGCCUUAGCCUCCCGAGUAGCUGGGAUUAUAGGUGCGCACCACCACGCCCAACUAAUUUUUGUAUUUUUAGCAGAGAUGGGUUUCACCAUGUUAGCCAGGCUGGUCUCCAAUUCCUGGCCUCAAGUGAUCCACCCGCCUGGGCCUCCCAAAGUGCUGGGAUUACAGGCGUGAGCCACCGCGCCCAGCCGAGCCUUCUAAUUGUAAAAGAUAGGCAGCUUUCAUUUAAAAAAAUCCAAGAUGGCUCUACACCUAGCGAUGUGAAAUGCUGUAGUCUAUUAAGGGAAAAAGCAAGUCACAGAAAAAUAACAGGAUUCCAUUUACAGUUUUUAAAAAUUAUAUAUCUGUGUGUAUACAUGGUUUAAAAAAAAUAAAUGAAAUCAUACCAUCAACCUAAAGAGGAAACUCAGAGAGACAGACUCGGAAACAAAUGAGCUCAUUUGGGACUAUGCAAGGGAUUGCAAUCCGUGGAAGCGUGUGCUAUGAUGGCUCAUAAGGUUUAAAAGACAAAGAGAAGUCCAUGCACGCUGCUUUGAAACAAGGCUGGCAGGUCACAGAAGCUCACUGCAGGAGCUGGCGUCUGUUUGCUGGUGGAGGCGGCCGUUGCCAGGUCACUAUCCCGUGCUGGUGGCGGAUCUGGAAUACCACAGCCUCGAGAAGUCCUUGCAACAAGUCCUGAUGCGGGUCUACGUGCAGGAACGUCUAGAGAUGGGUCCCGUGGCCAGCAUGUGGGCGUGAGGGCCUCUUCAUAGCCUCCCCCAACUCCAUUUUGCUAGAGUUUAGAGUUUGACCUAGGUGACUCCGUUUCGGUACCAGCAACUUUCAUAAUACACCCCGCGCCAUAUACAUGUAACCCUCCCACCUUUUUUUUUUUUUUUUUUUUUUUUUUUGACAGAGUCUCACUCCGUCGCCCAGGCUGGAGUCCAGUGUCGCAGUCUCGGCUCCCUGCAACCUCUGCCUCUGGGGUUCAAGCGAGCCUCCUGCCUCAGCCUCCCGAGUAGCUGGGAUUACUGGUUCCUGACACGACUCCUGGCUAAUUUUUGUAUUUUUCGUAGAGACGGGAGUUUCACCAUGUUGGCCAGGCUGUUCUCGAACUCCUGACCUCAAUGAUCCGCCUGCCUCAGCCUCCCAAAGUGCUGUGAUUACAGGUGUGGGCCACCGCGCCCGGCCUGUAACCCCUUUUUAAGGGCAGCUUCUUCCCACCCCAAAGGCAGGCCCAGGCCCAUCUCACUGUGCUCUGCUGGGGAACGCUGCUCUGCGCUGGGCCCUCCCUGUUUCCGGAGAGUGGGGCUGCCCCUCCGCCGUGCAGGCCUGGCUGAGGCUGGGCCCGCUUCCUCCUGACCGCUGCAGCCCCCGGGGCUCCCCAGACAAAGGCAGUUACACAAAGAAACAAAGGAAGGCUUAGAAGGGUACACGUCCUUGCUAACUCAGAACGGCUCCUGAGCUGCAAAAGAUGGGUCCUAAAGCUGGAGCUGUUCCCUGGGAGGGAGGCCUCUGUGUGCCCCUGCCUCUGUCUGAGCAACUCACAGCCUCCUCACUGUCCCCAAAGCUGACUGCCUGCAGCCUCUCUGCUUGCCCGCCGGCCGCCUGUCGCUAGGCUGCCCCCAGGCUGCCCCCUCCCCCUCUACAGACUCGUGCUUGGCUUUCCCUCUCUUCCUGAGGUAUCUAUGGGACCCCUUUAGUUUGUAAAACUGGGCCUCCUUUUCCACUCCAGAAAUUCUCCAGCAUAAAAUCUGUGCUCUUGGGGAGUGAGGAGGAGAGGUCUUCCUAGGAGUGCAGGGG
RNAcentral lists this long non-coding RNA (3205 nucleotides) under Homo sapiens (human). RNAcentral's name for it is "HSALNT0392895". The record is from RNAcentral. Lineage: Eukaryota; Metazoa; Chordata; Mammalia; Primates; Hominidae.